AGGAAACUAGGGGCGUAAUACCGGAUAGGAGCUCCUGCUGCAUGGUGGGGGUUGGGAAAGUUUCGGCGGUUGGGGAUGGACUCGCGGCUUAUCAGCUUGUUGGUGGGGUAGGUGGCUUACCAAGGCUUUGACGGGUAGCCGGCCUGAGAGGGUGACCGGCCACAUUGGGACUGAGAUACGGCCCAG
This 186-nucleotide ribosomal RNA is filed under the name uncultured Actinomycetales bacterium. RNAcentral describes it as "partial 16S ribosomal RNA". It matches the Rfam family "Bacterial small subunit ribosomal RNA", at positions 151 to 334 of the family's 1533-position model. Lineage: Bacteria; Bacillati; Actinomycetota; Actinomycetes; Actinomycetales. The record is from RNAcentral.